Molecule: ribosomal RNA, 383 nt
Filed under: uncultured eukaryote
Lineage: Eukaryota
Description: partial 18S ribosomal RNA
Rfam family: Eukaryotic small subunit ribosomal RNA
Source: RNAcentral
CAAUAGCGUAUAUUAAAGUUGUUGCAGUUAAAAAGCUCGUAGUUGGAUUUCUGGUGGGAGCGAUCGGUCUGGCGCUUAGCGCGAGUACUUGCAUCGUCUCCGGCCAUCCUUGGGGAGAGUCUGUCUGGCAUUAGGUUGUCGGGCAGAGGAUCCUCAUCGUUUACUGUGAAAAAAUUAGAGUGUUCAAAGCAGGCUUAUGCCGUUGAAUAUAUUAGCAUGGAAUAAUAAGAUAGGACUUUGGUACUAUUUUGUUGGUUUGCGCACCAAAGUAAUGAUUAAUAGGGACAGUUGGGGGUAUUCGUAUUCCGUUGUCGGAGGUGAAAUUCUUGGAUUUACGGAAGACGAACUACUGCGAAAGCAUUUACCAAGGAUGUUUNCAUUAA